AUGGUAGGAUAGAGGCCUACCAUGGUGGUAACGGGUAACGGGGUGUUAGGGCACGACACCGGAGAGGGAGCCUGAGAAACGGCUACCACAUCCAAGGAUGGCAGCAGGCGCGCAAAUUACCCAAUCCCGACACGGGGAGGUAGUGGCAAUAAAUAACAAUACGGGGUUCUUUAGGAUCUCGUAAUUGGAGUGAGUACAGUUUAAAUCUCUUAACGAGGAACAAUUGGAGGGCAAGACUGGUGCCAGCAGCCGCGGUAAUUCCAGCUCCAAUAGCGUAUAUNAAAGUUGUUGCAGUUAAAAAGCUCGUAGUUGAAUUUCGGGGUCAGUAGGUCGGUCGUGCCACUGGUAUGAACUGGUUUUACUGAUUCCUCCCUCUUGAAGAACUGUAAUGCCAUUAAUUUGGUGUUGCAGGGAAUCAGGACUGUUACUUUGAAAAAAUUAGAGUGUUUAAAGCAGGCUUUAGCUUGAAUACAUUAGCAUGGAAUAAUGAAAUAGGACGUUUGAUCCUAUUUUGUUGGUUUCUAGGAUUGACGUAAUGAUUAAUAGGGAUAGUUGGGGGCAUUAGUAUUCAAUUGUCAGAGGUGAAAUUCUUGGAUUUAUUGAAGACUAACUACUGCGAAAGCAUUUGCCAAGGAUGUUUUCAUUAAUCAAGAACGAAAGUUAGGGGAUCGAAGACGAUCAGAUACCGUCGUAGUCUUAACCAUAAACUAUGCCGACUAGGGAUCGGAUGAUGUUAAUUUUUUAAUGACUCAUUCGGCGCCUUACGGGAAACCAAAGUGUUUGGG
Molecule: ribosomal RNA, 785 nt
Filed under: uncultured Glomus
Lineage: Eukaryota; Fungi; Glomeromycota; Glomeromycetes; Glomerales; Glomeraceae
Description: SSU rRNA
Rfam family: Eukaryotic small subunit ribosomal RNA
Source: RNAcentral